This is a non-coding RNA of Pelobates cultripes (western spadefoot toad), 302 nucleotides long. The record is from the annotation of a GenBank genome assembly. NCBI's taxonomy places the organism in Eukaryota, Metazoa, Chordata, Amphibia, Anura, Pelobatidae.
CUUAUACAGUCACAGAGUAACACAAUGACUCACACACCGGUCAAAUUGUAGCCACCCUCCAAUUUACUACCUUAUGGGUGCAGGAGGGAGGCUUCUGCUGGCUGAGGCUGUUGGGAGGUAGAGUCUGGUUCUCACCCUCCUCUCUUAGAUUCUGCCUUCUUCUCUUCCUCCCGCAUGGGUCAAUGUUAUCUGGGAGGAAAUGACUAGCUCUCACUUCCUCCCAGCACAGGCUGCAGGUAUGAGAGGGGCCCAGCCGCGCUGUUGAAGAGCAGCAGUGUUGCGGGCCCUGGCACAGCCACACU